CCUACGGGUGGCAGCAGUGAGGAAUAUUGGUCAAUGGACGCAAGUCUGAACCAGCCAUGCCGCGUGCAGGAAGACUGCCCUAUGAGUUGUAAACUGCUUUUGUACGAGGGUAAACGCAGAUACGUGUACCUGUUUGAAAGUAUCGUACGAAUAAGGAUCGGCUAACUCCGUGCCAGCAGCCGCGGUAAUACGGAGGAUCCAAGCGUUAUCCGGAUUUAUUGGGUUUAAAGGGUGCGUAGGCGGUCGGGUAAGUUAGAGGUGAAAUCCUGAGGCUCAACUUCGGAAUUGCCUCUGAUACUGGUCGGCUAGAGAGUAGUUGCGGUAGGCGGAAUGUAUGGUGUAGCGGUGAAAUGCUUAGAGAUCAUACAGAACACCGAUUGCGAAGGCAGCUUACCAAGCUACUACUGACGUUGAGGCACGAAAGCGUGGGGAGCAAACAGGAUUAGAUACCCGUGUAGUC
RNAcentral lists this ribosomal RNA (460 nucleotides) under uncultured bacterium. RNAcentral's name for it is "partial 16S ribosomal RNA". It matches the Rfam family "Bacterial small subunit ribosomal RNA", at positions 338 to 795 of the family's 1533-position model. The record is from RNAcentral.